AGGCCGAAAGGCGUAGUCGAUGGGAAACAGGUUAAUAUUCCUGUACUUGGUGUUACUGCGAAGGGGGGACGGAGAAGGCUAUGUUAGCCGGGCGACGGUUGUCCCGGUUUAAGCAUGUAGGCUGGUUGUCCAGGCAGAUCCAGAUAAUCAAGGCUGAGGUGUGAUGACGAGGCACUACGGUGCUGAAGUAACAAAUGCCCUGCUUCCAGGAAAAGCCUCUAAGCAUCAGGUAACAUCAAAUCGUACCCCAAA
Molecule: ribosomal RNA, 252 nt
Filed under: Klebsiella pneumoniae
Lineage: Bacteria; Pseudomonadati; Pseudomonadota; Gammaproteobacteria; Enterobacterales; Enterobacteriaceae
Description: partial 23S ribosomal RNA
Rfam family: Bacterial large subunit ribosomal RNA
Source: RNAcentral